Molecule: ribosomal RNA, 425 nt
Filed under: uncultured bacterium
Lineage: Bacteria
Description: bacterial SSU rRNA
Rfam family: Bacterial small subunit ribosomal RNA
Source: RNAcentral
GGAAUCUUCCGCAAUGGGCGCAAGCCUGACGGAGCAACGCCGCGUGAGUGAGGAAGUUCUUCGGAACGUAAAGCUCUGUUGUUCCUGACGAACCUCCCUUCUAUCAACAACGGAGGGGACUAACGGUAGGGAACGAGGAAGCCACGGCUAACUACGUGCCAGCAGCCGCGGUAAUACGUAGGUGGCAAGCGUUGUCCGGAUUUAUUGGGCGUAAAGCGAGCGCAGGCGGUUUUUUAAGUCUGAUGUGAAAGCCUUCGGCUUAACCGAAGAAGUGCAUUAGAAACUGGGAAACUUGAGUGCAGAAGAGGACAGUGGAACUCCAUGUGUAGCGGUGAAAUGCGUAGAUAUAUGGAAGAACACCAGUGGCGAAGGCGGCUGUCUGGUCUGUAACUGACGCUGAGGCUCGAAAGUAUGGGGAGCGAACA